AGUGAACGCUGGCGGUAGGCCUAACACAUGCAAGUCGAACGGCAGCACAGUAAGAGCUUGCUCUUACGGGUGGCGAGUGGCGGACGGGUGAGGAAUACAUCGGAAUCUACUUUUUCGUGGGGGAUAACGUAGGGAAACUUACGCUAAUACCGCAUACGACCUACGGGUGAAAGCAGGGGAUCUUCGGACCUUGCGCGAUUGAAUGAGCCGAUGUCGGAUUAGCUAGUUGGCGGGGUAAAGGCCCACCAAGGCGACGAUCCGUAGCUGGUCUGAGAGGAUGAUCAGCCACAAUGGAACUGAGACACGGUCCCGACUCCUACGGGAGGCAGCAGUGGGGAAUAUUGGACAAUGGGCGCAAACCUGAUCCAGCCAUACCGCGUGAGUGAAGAAGGCCUUCGGGUUGUAAAGCCCUUUUGUUAGGAAAGAAAAGCAGCAGGUUAAUACCCCGCUGUUCUGACGGUACCCAAAGAAUAAGCACCGGCUAACUUCGUG
Molecule: ribosomal RNA, 492 nt
Filed under: uncultured bacterium
Lineage: Bacteria
Description: partial 16S ribosomal RNA
Rfam family: Bacterial small subunit ribosomal RNA
Source: RNAcentral